RNAcentral lists this ribosomal RNA (310 nucleotides) under uncultured bacterium. RNAcentral describes it as "bacterial SSU rRNA". It matches the Rfam family "Bacterial small subunit ribosomal RNA", at positions 32 to 326 of the family's 1533-position model. The record is from RNAcentral.
AAUCAACGCUGGCGGCGUGCCUAACACAUGCAAGUCGAACGCGGUUUUCCCCGCAAGGGGAAAGCUGAGUGGCAAACGGGUGAGUAACACGUGGGUGACCUGCCUUCGGGUGGGGGAUAACGUUCCGAAAGGGACGCUAAUACCGCAUAACAUCCUGUCUUUUAAGAGAUGGACAUCAAAGCCUGGACCGUAAGGCCAGGCGCUUGAAGAGGGCCCGCGCCUGAUUAGCUAGUUGGUGGGGUAANGGCUCACCAAGGCAACGAUCAGUAUCCGGCCUGAGAGGGCGGACGGACACACUGGGACUGAGACA